GACGAACGCUGGCGGCGCGCCUAACACAUGCAAGUCGAACGGAGCUGAGAGAAGCUUUCUUUUCUUAGCUUAGUGGCUAACGUGUGAGUAACGCGUGAGUAACCUGCCCUUGAGUGGUGGACAACAGUUGGAAACGACUGCUAAUACCGCAUAAGCCCACGAUCCGUCAUCGGAUUGAGGGAAAAUGAUUUAUUCGCUUCAGGAUGGACUCGCGUCCAAUUAGCUAGUUGGUGAGGUAACUGCCCACCAAGGCGACGAUUGGUAGACGGACUGAGAGGUUGAACGGGCAGAUGGGGACUGAGACACGGACCAGAAUCCUACGGGAGGGAGCAGGGGGGGAUAUUGCAAAAUGGGGGAAACCCUGAUGAAGCGACGACGCGUGGAGGAAGAAGGUUUUCGGAUAGUAAACUCCUGUAGUUAGGGACGAUAAUGACGGUACCUAACAAGAAAGCACCGGCUAACUACGUG
This 468-nucleotide ribosomal RNA is filed under the name uncultured bacterium. Its description in RNAcentral is "partial 16S ribosomal RNA". It matches the Rfam family "Bacterial small subunit ribosomal RNA", at positions 28 to 507 of the family's 1533-position model. The record is from RNAcentral.